This 240-nucleotide ribosomal RNA is filed under the name uncultured bacterium. RNAcentral describes it as "partial 16S ribosomal RNA". It matches the Rfam family "Bacterial small subunit ribosomal RNA", at positions 524 to 763 of the family's 1533-position model. The record is from RNAcentral.
UACGGAAGGUCCGGGCGUUAUCCGGAUUUAUUGGGUUUAAAGGGAGCGUAGGCCGGGUUUUAAGCGUGCCGUGAAAUGUCGGGGCUCAACCUUGACACUGCGGCGCGAACUGGAGUCCUUGAGUGCGCGGAACGUAUGCGGAAUUCGUGGUGUAGCGGUGAAAUGCUUAGAUAUCACGAAGAACCCCGAUUGCGAAGGCAGCAUACGGCAGCGCUACUGACGCUGAAGCUCGAAGGCGCG